This 225-nucleotide ribosomal RNA is filed under the name uncultured bacterium. RNAcentral describes it as "partial 16S ribosomal RNA". It matches the Rfam family "Bacterial small subunit ribosomal RNA", at positions 114 to 334 of the family's 1533-position model. The record is from RNAcentral.
CGCGUAGGUAACCUGCCUUGUAGCGGGGGAUAACUAUUGGAAACGAUAGCUAAUACCGCAUAACAAUGGAUGACACAUGUCAUUUAUUUGAAAGGGGCAAUUGCUCCACUACAAGAUGGACCUGCGUUGUAUUAGCUAGUAGGUGAGGUAACGGCUCACCUAGGCGACGAUACAUAGCCGACCUGAGAGGGUGAUCGGCCACACUGGGACUGAGACGCGGCCCAG